GUUUAAAAUUUUACAAUAGAAAUGGAGAAAAGUAAGUUUGUUAACAAGGAAUAAUAUAGUAUAUAUAUAUAUAUAUAUAGUUAAUUUACAGCUAGUGAAAAGGAUGUUAAUUCGUUGUUUUUAAAUGCAGAUAGAAAUUUUUCAUUGUUUUCUUGAAAGAGCCAUACGAUCUAUUUUCUUUAUAUUUCGAAGGAAGAUUAUUCCAUAUAUCAAUUCCCUUAUUAGUUAGAGUAUGUUUUGUAUAAUUUGUUCUGCUACACUUUUUGUGUAAUAAUGAUGAGUUUCGUGUAUUGUAGUUAUGGAUUUCCUUAUUGGUAGAAAAAUAAUUUGUGAAUGUUUCUGGUAAAUUUUGAAGAUUGAAAUACCUGAACAUAAAAAUACUUGUUAAAUAAUCAUUUAUUGUGUAUAUGUUAAGUAUUUGCAAUUCUAAAAAAAUGGGUUCAGUGUGAUUAGUAUAAUUCUUAAAAGUCAUUAAUCUUACAAUUUUUUUUUGAAUGUUCAUUAACUUUGAAAUACGAGAUUUGUACGUAUUACCCCAAAUGAGGUUACCAUAGAUUAGAUAUGGAUAGACCAAUGCGUAGUAAAUGAGUUUUAGAGAAUUUAAGUUUGUAAAAUGCCGAAUUCUGGAAAUAAUAGCUGCACAUCUGAUCAUUUUCUUUGCUAUUAAAUCUAGAUGAUAACACCAUGUUAAAAAUUCAUCAAUAACAAUUCCUAAAAAUGUGAUACUCUUGGCUUGUUUUAUGGCCUCAUUAUUUAAAGAAAUUUUAACAUUGU
This is a non-coding RNA of Paramuricea clavata, 774 nucleotides long. The record is from the annotation of a GenBank genome assembly. NCBI's taxonomy places the organism in Eukaryota, Metazoa, Cnidaria, Anthozoa, Malacalcyonacea, Plexauridae.